AGUGAACGCUGGCGGUAGGCCUAACACAUGCAAGUCGAACGGCAGCACAGUAAGAGCUUGCUCUUACGGGUGGCGAGUGGCGGACGGGUGAGGAAUACAUCGGAAUCUACUUUUUCGUGGGGGAUAACGUAGGGAAACUUACGCUAAUACCGCAUACGACCUACGGGUGAAAGCAGGGGAUCUUCGGACCUUGCGCGAUUGAAUGAGCCGAUGUCGGAUUAGCUAGUUGGCGGGGUAAAGGCCCACCAAGGCGACGAUCCGUAGCUGGUCUGAGAGGAUGAUCAGCCACACUGGAACUGAGAAACGGUCCCAACUCCCAAGGGAGGGAGGCGUGGGGAAUAUUGGACCAUGGGGGGAAGGCCGAUCCCAGCCAACCCGGUGGGUGAAAGAGGGCUUUGGGUUUGAAAAGCCCUUUGUUGGGAAAGAAAAGCAGGAGGUUAAAACCCCGCUGGUCCUACGGUACCCAAAGAAUAAGCAACGGCCAACUUCGGU
RNAcentral lists this ribosomal RNA (492 nucleotides) under uncultured bacterium. RNAcentral's name for it is "partial 16S ribosomal RNA". It matches the Rfam family "Bacterial small subunit ribosomal RNA", at positions 29 to 507 of the family's 1533-position model. The record is from RNAcentral.